UAAGGCGAGGCUGAAAAGCGUAGUCGAUGGGAAACAGGUUAAUAUUCCUGUACUUCUGGUUACUGCGAUGGAGGGACGGAGAAGGCUAGGCCAGCUUGGCGUUGGUUGUCCAAGUUUAAGGUGGUAGGCUGAAAUCUUAGGUAAAUCCGGGGUUUCAAGGCCGAGAGCUGAUGACGAGUCGUCUUUUAGAUGACGAAGUGGUUGAUGCCAUGCUUCCAAGAAAAGCUUCUAAGCUUCAGGUAACCAGGAACCGUACCCCAAACCGACACAGGUGGUCGGGUAGAGAAUACCAAGGCGCUUGAGAGAACUCGGGUGAAGGAACUAGGCAAAAUGGCACCGUAACUUCGGGAGAAGGUGCGCCGGCUAGGGUGAAGGAUUUACUCCGUAAGCUCUGGCUGGUCGAAGAUACCAGGCCGCUGCGACUGUUUAUUAAAAACACAGCACUCUGCAAACACGAAAGUGGACGUAUAGGGUGUGACGCCUGCCCGGUGCCGGAAGGUUAAUUGAUGGGGUUAGCGCAAGCGAAGCUCUUGAUCGAAGCCCCGGUAAACGGCGGCCGUAACUAUAACGGUCCUAAGGUAGCGAAAUUCCUUGUCGGGUAAGUUCCGACCUGCACGAAUGGCGUAACGAUGGCGGCGCUGUCUCCACCCGAGACUCAGUGAAAUUGAAAUCGCUGUGAAGAUGCAGUGUAUCCGCGGCUAGACGGAAAGACCCCGUGAACCUUUACUGUAGCUUUGCACUGGACUUUGAGCCUGCUUGUGUAGGAUAGGUGGGAGGCUUUGAAGCGUGGACGCCAGUUCGCGUGGAGCCAUCCUUGAAAUACCACCCUGGCAUGCUUGAGGUUCUAACUCUGGUCCGUGAUCCGGAUCGAGGACAGUGUAUGGUGGGCAGUUUGACUGGGGCGGUCUCCUCCUAAAGAGUAACGGAGGAGUACGAAGGUGCGCUCAGACCGGUCGGAAAUCGGUCGCAGAGUAUAAAGGCAAAAGCGCGCUUGACUGCGAGACAGACACGUCGAGCAGGUACGAAAGUAGGUCUUAGUGAUCCGGUGGUUCUGUAUGGAAGGGCCAUCGCUCAACGGAUAAAAGGUACUCCGGGGAUAACAGGCUGAUACCGCCCAAGAGUUCAUAUCGACGGCGGUGUUUGGCACCUCGAUGUCGGCUCAUCACAUCCUGGGGCUGAAGUAGGUCCCAAGGGUAUGGCUGUUCGCCAUUUAAAGUGGUACGCGAGCUGGGUUUAGAACGUCGUGAGACAGUUCGGUCCCUAUCUGCCGUGGACGUUUGAGAUUUGAGAGGGGCUGCUCCUAGUACGAGAGGACCGGAGUGGACGAACCUCUGGUGUUCCGGUUGUCACGCCAGUGGCAUUGCCGGGUAGCUAUGUUCGGAAAAGAUAACCGCUGAAAGCAUCUAAGCGGGAAACUUGCCUCAAGAUGAGAUCUCACUGGGAACUUGAUUCCCCUGAAGGGCCGUCGAAGACUACGACGUUGAUAGGCUGGGUGUGUAAGCGUUGUGAGGCGUUGAGCUAACCAGUACUAAUUGCCCGUGAGGCUUGACCAU
RNAcentral lists this ribosomal RNA (1553 nucleotides) under human gut metagenome. Its description in RNAcentral is "bacterial LSU rRNA". It matches the Rfam family "Bacterial large subunit ribosomal RNA", at positions 1392 to 2925 of the family's 2925-position model. The record is from RNAcentral.